CUGCCAGCCAGCAAGCAAAGUUGCCUGCUCCAGUCCAGCAGUAAACAAACGAAUAAAUUCAUCGUCAGCUCGCUUCAAUUCUGACUCUUAAUUUCUGAGUCAACUUCAAAUUUUCACCAUAAAUUGAAAACAAUUAAUGAGCAAUCUUUUUCUUUUGUUGUGUAUUUUGACUAUUGUAAAGCUCGCUAAAUUUGCGCUGCGUCUAUUGAACGCAUUUAGGAUGAUAUUUUUCCUAAGGGUUCGACCUUGUGGGAGAAAAAUGAUGAGACCGUCAAAUGUUUUGAUUGGAAUGUUAGGGAUGUUCUUAAUUUUUGGACUUCCUCGUGAGAGUUGUGCUUGGGAUAAGGGGACCAGUUCAAAUGCUUCUACUACAAUGUCAGCAACGACCGAAACGGUUAAACCAAUGGUGUCUACAACCGCACCCACUACUCCUUCCACACCAAGUAACUCGACGACUCCUGAAACAACAACAACACCAGCACCACCCUCUCAUGUGUGGUAUUCAUUUUCUGGCGAUAUUGAUCUUGCCGAGUUAUCAAAGGUGUUGAAGAAUGUGACGGGAACAGCACAGGUUGAGGACAGCCGACCGGGAGUCAGUACGGGAGGGCAGUUUCCCCAAUUUUCUAUCACGGGGAACCAAAUAGAAACAACAACGGAUAUAAUGAAGCAAAAUGGGAGUUUCACUGGAGUAGUGGCUAGUUUGAAGUUCAUUUCAAAUAGUCCACCCACCAAUUCCACUACCACUACUUUGCCAACCUCAACUCCAUCUGCUACAACCACUGCCACCAGUGCUACUACCCAACCGGUCAGCAGUACCACAACCACCCCACCCACUCCAUGCGUGCUGCCCUUCAAGUACAAAGUGCUCAUUUUCAUAUCGAUGUGUAUCCUCGUCAUUUUUAUCCUUGGGUUGCUGUCCGUACUCUGUUCAUCCGGUUCCUGGAGGUGUGAGGAAUUGAAAACGUCAUGUGCUAUUUGGAAAAGCAAUAUGAGAGCAAGGUAUUCCCGACGAAGAAUGCGAUUAACCGUUAACCCAUUCCUCAGCCGUUUUCGAAACGCUGACAAUCCAGCAGCUCAUCAAAACUAUCCGGUCGACGUGGAGGCGUACGAGCUGUUGUAGCUCACCAAAAGUUUUGAGAUUUCAUAAAAAGUUGACAAGUACUAUGUACAAUUUCCAAAUCGUCUAUCCUUUCAUCUCUUCCGUUCAAGGUGAUCUUCUUGACAAUCAAAUUUAAAAAUUCGUUUAUCAACUUCUUUCUUUUCUUUUCUAAUAAACUAUUUGUACUUCAUUAUUUGUAUAAGAACAAUAAAUAUGUUGUUCAUUAUUUGUUUUCAUAAGCAUGUGUAUUGUAUGAACUUUUUCCACUGUUCAUUAUUUAUUGCCGGAUAACAAAUACCAAUAAGUAGGUGGUUGCACUAGUUUCGCAGUGCGAAGUACCUUUCCAUAUGAAUUAGGAAGGGGAAAAUAAGUUAUCCAUCCAAACUUACAUAUCAACAUGAUACGUUGGGUAUUAUGUCUCACGGUGGUCCUGUGGGGUGUAGCUUCCGUACUUGGUGCUGAUGACGACGUCAACCACAUCUUUUCUGGAGAUUAUAAGACCUCGCGGAUUCGUCGUGACUCUGUCGCGGCUACAUUGGCUGCUGAGUCCCAAAAUGAAAUUCCCGACUCUGAAACCACAGUAGGUCGAGUGGCACGUCAUCACAGGAAGCAUCGUAAAGGGAGGAGGGGUCAUCGUCGACAUGGACACGGUGGUCGCUCCUUCGGAGAUGGAGGAUAUGGUCCCCCUCAAGAUUCAGGGUAUGGUCCCCUCGGUGGUGGAAUAGGCUUUUCGGGUGGAAAUUCUGGACUUCCACAUUUUGGACCAUUCCCGGAUUUGCCACCACCCCCACCACCAGGUUAUGACGAGGAAGUCGUUUCUUUCGACAUGAACGAAGCGGACAGUUGCUAGACAAAUGCAUAGAUUUCCUUGUCAUCUUUUACACAAAAUUGGAAUUUAACUUAUUUAUUACCGAAAAUUAUGUUCUUAGGACUAUUUAUUCAGAUUUAAUAAAGUUUGACGUAAAAUUAAA
This is an RNA transcript of Folsomia candida, 2070 nucleotides long. RefSeq lists it as uncharacterized. The transcript is spliced from 7 exons. Lineage: Eukaryota; Metazoa; Arthropoda; Collembola; Entomobryomorpha; Isotomidae. The record is from RefSeq and is a predicted model, not a curated record.